UACGUAGGGGGCAAGCGUUGUCCGGAUUUAUUGGGCGUAAAGAGCGUGUAGGCGGUUGGGUAGGUCCGUUGUGAAAACUCGAGGCUCAACCUCGAGACGCCGAUGGAAACCCCCUGACUAGAGUCCGGAAGAGGAGAGUGGAAUUCCUGGUGUAGCGGUGAAAUGCGCAGAUAUCAGGAAGAACACCCGUGGCUAAGGCGGCUCUCUAGUACGGUACUGACGCUGAGGCGCGAAAGCGUGGGGAGCAAACAGG
Molecule: ribosomal RNA, 253 nt
Filed under: uncultured bacterium
Lineage: Bacteria
Description: partial 16S ribosomal RNA
Rfam family: Bacterial small subunit ribosomal RNA
Source: RNAcentral